AUUGAACGCUGGCGGCAUGCCUUACACAUGCAAGUCGAACGGCAGCACGGGAGCAAUCCUGGUGGCGAGUGGCGAACGGGUGAGUAAAGUAUCGGAACGUGCCCAGUCGUGGGGGGUAACGCAGCGAAAGCUGCGCUAAUACCGCAUACGAUCUGAGGAUGAAAGCGGGGGACCGUAAGGCCUCGCGCGAUCGGAGCGGCCGAUGUCAGAUUAGGUAGUUGGUGGGGUAAAGGCUCACCAAGCCAACGAUCUGUAGCUGGUCUGAGAGGACGACCAGCCACACUGGGACUGAGACACGGCCCAGACUCCUACGGGAGGCAGCAGUGGGGAAUUUUGGACAAUGGGCGAAAGCCUGAUCCAGCAAUGCCGCGUGCAGGAAGAAGGCCUUCGGGUUGUAAACUGCUUUUGUAUGGAGCGAAAAGGCUCUCUCUAAUACAGGGGGCUCAUGACGGCACCGUAAGAAUAAGCACCGGCUAACUACGUGCCAGCCGCCGCCGUAA
This 500-nucleotide ribosomal RNA is filed under the name uncultured bacterium. Its description in RNAcentral is "partial 16S ribosomal RNA". It matches the Rfam family "Bacterial small subunit ribosomal RNA", at positions 29 to 523 of the family's 1533-position model. The record is from RNAcentral.